RNAcentral lists this ribosomal RNA (550 nucleotides) under uncultured fungus. Its description in RNAcentral is "eukaryotic LSU rRNA". The stretch from base 256 to 409 matches the Rfam family "5.8S ribosomal RNA". The record is from RNAcentral. Lineage: Eukaryota; Fungi.
GGAAGGAUCAUUAUUGAAUGAACUUGGUGUGGUUGUUGCUGGCCCUCUCGGGGGCAUGUGCACACCCACCAUCCUCAUCUCUCCACCUGUGCACCUCUUGUAGACCUGGAUAGACUUUUAGAGGCAACUCGGUCGGGAAGAUUGGUGCGCUCUGUGAGCCAGCUUUCUUUGCAUGUCCAGGCCUAUGUUUUUCAAUAUACCCCUAUAGAAAGUAACAGAAUGUAUCAUUGGGCCUUGUGCCUAUAAACCUUAUACAACUUUCAGCAACGGAUCUCUUGGCUCUCGCAUCGAUGAAGAACGCAGCGAAAUGCGAUAAGUAAUGUGAAUUGCAGAAUUCAGUGAAUCAUCGAAUCUUUGAACGCACCUUGCGCUCCUUGGUAUUCCGAGGAGCAUGCCUGUUUGAGUGUCAUUAAAUUCUCAACCUUAUUAGCUUUUGUUGAUAAUGGAUUGGAUGUGGGGGUUUCUUUUGCUGGCUUCUUCACAGAGAUCAGCUCCCCUUAAAUGCAUUAGCUGGUGCCCCGCGUGGACCAUCUAUUGGUGUGAUAAUUAU